GUGAAGAACGCAGCGAAAUGCGAUAAGUAAUGUGAAUUGCAGAAUUCAGUGAAUCAUCGAAUCUUUGAACGCAUCUUGCGCUCCUUGGUAUUCUGAGGAGCAUGCCUGUUUGAGUGUCAUUAAAUUCUCAACUACACUGACUUUGAAUUGGUGUGGCUUGGAUUUGGGGGGAAAAUUGUUGUGGGCUUUUUGUAUAGUCUGCUCCCCUGAAAUUGAUUAGCGGUACCUUUGUGGAACUGUCUACAGGUGUGAUAAUUAUCUACAUCUUAGACAUCUGCUGGAAUGCUGCUUUCUAAACCUUACUUGUAUUGACAAUCUUGACCUCAAAUCAGGUAGGACUACCCGCUGAACUUAAGCAUAUCAAUAAGCGGAGGA
RNAcentral lists this unclassified non-coding RNA (375 nucleotides) under soil metagenome. Its description in RNAcentral is "partial contains 5.8S ribosomal RNA, internal transcribed spacer 2, and large subunit ribosomal RNA". The stretch from base 2 to 119 matches the Rfam family "5.8S ribosomal RNA", at positions 37 to 154 of the family's 154-position model. The record is from RNAcentral.